Molecule: long non-coding RNA, 560 nt
Filed under: Catagonus wagneri (Chacoan peccary)
Lineage: Eukaryota; Metazoa; Chordata; Mammalia; Artiodactyla; Tayassuidae
Description: lncRNA (ENSCWAG00000020761.1)
Source: RNAcentral
AUUGGCUUCUGCGAGGCUCCGAAGCGGCGGACCUCCCAGAGUCCGGCUCGAGAGGAGCCCGGGCCAGCGGUAUUGUCUGGGACGUGUCCCAGCGACCGCGCCUCCGAGAGGAAUGGUUGUGAACAUCACCAUUACAGAGCAGGAGAAACAGAAGCAUUCAGAGUGGCCCCUGUGCAGUAACCCCGCAUAAACCGCCUUCUGAUAACAGGACAGGCAGACAUCGGAGAACUAAAGAUGCCCACCUCCGGCGCCUUUCUUCCACGCUGUGCCAAAGGGAGGAUGAGCCUAAUUGGCCGAAUCCAGAUGAGCUGGGCAGCGCUGUGAAGGAGCCGCAAGCAGCCCUCGGGGCCUCGAGAUGGUAGGCAGAAAGCAGGGCUGGUGUAUGGAGAUGCCCUCACCCCGACUCCCACCUCCAGGAAGAUCUUGACUUUGGGGGUUGGGUGACCCCAGAGAAGAGUGAUGGUUAGUCUCAUCAAUGUCAGACUUCUUAUCGGGCACUGAGCGAGCAUUUCUUCUGAGCCUUAGAAUGUCCAUCUGAAAGCGUUUGUAAGGGUCUGGCA